This is a long non-coding RNA of Triticum dicoccoides, 1149 nucleotides long. RefSeq lists it as uncharacterized. NCBI's taxonomy places the organism in Eukaryota, Viridiplantae, Streptophyta, Magnoliopsida, Poales, Poaceae. The transcript is spliced from 3 exons. The record is from RefSeq and is a predicted model, not a curated record.
GCCCACUCUCCCUCCCUCUCAGUUCUGCUGGCCUUAUCUCUUCUAUCUUCUAUUUGUCUCCCCACCGCUGCCGUCCAUGGACCUCCCGUCGAUUACGGCGAUGGGGUCCCUGGGCGUGCUGCUGCUGCACCCCAUGAACGGCUACCUGGAGCAGGAGCUGGACCGCGUCUUCCGCUUCUGGGACUCCCCUCCAGACGGGGGCGCCGAGUUCCUCCGUGCGGUCGUCGGCAACGCCGGAUACAACGCCGACGCCGCGCUCAUCGAUGCGUUGCCGUCCCUCGAGAACGUUGCGUCCUCCGUGGGGAUCGACCGCGUCGACCUCACCAAGUGCCGCGAGCGCGGGAUCCAUGCUCACUGACAUGCUCACCGACGCCGUCGGCCUCGUCAUCUCCGCGGUAAGGAAGAUCACGCAUGGUGACCGCUAUGUGCGCGCCGGCUUGUGGAAGGCCAAGAGGGACUACACGGUUAACAUGAUGCAUGAGUAGUCUCGUGACGAAGACCUUUAACUAUGAUGUCAUCUACUCUCAUUUGUGACAUUGGAAAUUGUUUGCGUUUCAUGACCAAGAGGUACAACAACAGCUCUCAGUCUCCCUGCAAUUUCUACCAUCUGAUAUGCAUCAUUCCUAUGCAACCAAUUGGAUUCAUCAAUGUUUCCUAAAAUAUUGUCCUCGUGAGGAGGGAUCCCUUCAUGUGAUUGGGAUGAAGUUGGCAUGUUUGAUAAGCCUGCAAGAAAUUUGGUGUCACCACAUCAGUGCAUAUAUUAAUAUACUCCAUCGGUCCUAAAAUAAGUGUCUCAACUUUAUACUAACUUUAGUGCAAAGUUGUAUUUAAGUUGAGACACUUAUGUUGGGACGGAGGGAGUAUCUCUUAAUAAUAUGCGAGAUAAUAAAAGGAAAUGACUAUUUGAUGGUAGCACACAACCUGCAAAUGAUAUUGUUUGUAGCUGGCUGACACCCGAUUGUCCUGUAGCUGGUGUGCGUGACACAUUGUCAACACUGUUAACGGUGGAAAUAGAUGUCUUUGACUGUUCAUGGGAUUGGUGUCGUGGAUCUAAGUCUGACAGUAGAGUGGGGGGUAGGUAUGGAGAGGCAAGGUCCUAGCUAUGGAGAGGUUGUAAACACAAGAGAUGUACGAGUUCAGGCCCUUCUC